This 442-nucleotide ribosomal RNA is filed under the name uncultured bacterium. Its description in RNAcentral is "partial 16S ribosomal RNA". It matches the Rfam family "Bacterial small subunit ribosomal RNA", at positions 338 to 795 of the family's 1533-position model. The record is from RNAcentral.
CCUACGGGAGGCAGCAGUAGGGAAUCUUUCACAAUGGGCGAAAGCCUGAUGGAGCAACGCCGCGUGCAGGAUGAAGGCCUUCGGGUUGUAAACUGCUUUUAUAAGCGAGAAAUAUGAUGGUAACUUAUGAAUAAGGAUCGGCUAACUACGUGCCAGCAGCCGCGGUCAUACGUAGGAUCCGAGCAUUAUCCGGAGUGACUGGGUGUAAAGAGUUGCGUAGGUGGCAUAAUAAGUAGCUAGUGAAAUCGGGUGGCUCAACCAUUCAGACUAUUAGCUAAACUGUUAAGCUCGAGACCGUUAGAGGUAACUGGAAUGUCUAGUGUAGGAGUGAAAUCCGUAGAUAUUAGAAGGAACACCAAUAGCGUAGGCAGGUUACUGGGACGGUUCUGACACUAAGGCACGAAAGCGUAGGGAGCAAACGGGAUUAGAUACCCUUGUAGUC